Molecule: ribosomal RNA, 292 nt
Filed under: uncultured microorganism
Description: partial 16S ribosomal RNA
Rfam family: Bacterial small subunit ribosomal RNA
Source: RNAcentral
GUGCCAGCAGCCGCGGUAAUACGAAGGGUGCAAGCGUUACUCGGAAUUACUGGGCGUAAAGCGUGCGUAGGUGGUUCGUUAAGUCUGAUGUGAAAGCCCCGGGCUCAACCUGGGAACUGCAUUGGAUACUGGCGAUCUGGAGUGCGGUAGAGGGUGGCGGAAUUCCCGGUGUAGCAGUGAAAUGCGUAGAUAUCGGGAGGAACAUCCGUGGCGAAGGCGGCCACCUGGACCAGCACUGACACUGAGGCACGAAAGCGUGGGGAGCAAACAGGAUUAGAUACCCUGGUAGUCC